RNAcentral lists this long non-coding RNA (574 nucleotides) under Monodelphis domestica (gray short-tailed opossum). Its description in RNAcentral is "lncRNA (ENSMODG00000040401.1)". The record is from RNAcentral. Lineage: Eukaryota; Metazoa; Chordata; Mammalia; Didelphimorphia; Didelphidae.
GCUUCUAAUAAGACGUUUAUUUUUUUAAGUGGGUGCGGGGUGCUGCCGUCGGGGGGAGGAGGGCAGACGGACAGAAAGGUGGACACGAUUUGGGGGUGUCGAGGGAAUUAACUGAGGGCGAGGGCAGGCGGAGGGGAAGGAAGGCAGGAGAGGGAGGAGCGCCAGAGUCGGUCCGCGGGGCUGGGAGCCGGGUUAGGGUUAGGGGGCGGAGGAUCCCGCUUCCCAGCAGCAGAGGGCGCCCCUCUCUCCCGUGUCCAGCCGGCUGGGGUUGGGGAGAGGAGAGGCUGCUAAGGCACGAGCGGCUCCUGCCACGUAUUCCUCCCGGCCGCGGCGGUGAGGCAGGAAGCCGAGGUGUUCACCCAGAAAGCGGCAAGUCCUAAAGCGAAGGAGCGAGACCAUUCUCAACAGCCCUCUCUGGGAAAGCUUUCCGGGGUCCUCUGGAAAGGAUGAGGCAGCUCAAAGGGAAACCCAAAAAGGAGACUUCCAGAGAUAAGAAGGAGCGCAAGCAAGCCAUGCAGGAAGCCCGGCAGCAGAUCACCACCGUCGUGCUGCCCACGCUGGCUGUGGUGGUGGU